This 485-nucleotide ribosomal RNA is filed under the name Pseudomonas sp. RNAcentral's name for it is "bacterial SSU rRNA". It matches the Rfam family "Bacterial small subunit ribosomal RNA", at positions 168 to 648 of the family's 1533-position model. The record is from RNAcentral. Lineage: Bacteria; Pseudomonadati; Pseudomonadota; Gammaproteobacteria; Pseudomonadales; Pseudomonadaceae.
ACCGCAUACGUCCUACGGGAGAAAGCAGGGGACCUUCGGGCCUUGCGCUAUCAGAUGAGCCUAGGUCGGAUUAGCUAGUUGGUGGGGUAAAGGCUCACCAAGGCGACGAUCCGUAACUGGUCUGAGAGGAUGAUCAGUCACACUGGAACUGAGACACGGUCCAGACUCCUACGGGAGGCAGCAGUGGGGAAUAUUGGACAAUGGGCGAAAGCCUGAUCCAGCCAUGCCGCGUGUGUGAAGAAGGUCUUCGGAUUGUAAAGCACUUUAAGUUGGGAGGAAGGUUCGUUACCUAAUACGUGACGAAUUUGACGUUACCGACAGAAUAAGCACCGGCUAACUCUGUGCCAGCAGCCGCGGUAAUACAGAGGGUGCAAGCGUUAAUCGGAAUUACUGGGCGUAAAGCGCGCGUAGGUGGUUUGUUAAGUUGGAUGUGAAAUCCCCGGGCUCAACCUGGGAACUGCAUCCAAAACUGGCAAGCUAGAGUA